GGAUUUCUGAGAGCAGCAACAGAUGGGCCAAUAGCGUUAGCUCUCAGCCUGAAGAAGCCAGCUGGUGCCCAGAUGGGGAAACUGAGGCACAGAGGUGGACAUGCUGCAUCUGAGGUGCACAGAGGGUGUGUGGAAGAAGAAGGAUUCGAACCCAGGACUCCUGAGUCCCAGCCAUUAAUCACUAGGCACCGUUCCCUGCCGCCCGGGACAGCCACGAAGACUUUCCUCAUCCAUUGGCUGCACUUUCCCAUUCUGUUCAUAGGAAAAGUGCAGUCAGCACCAGACGUGGUAGCUCGUUUCGGGGGGGACGUCACCCUGAGCUGCCUCUUCCCGUCCCAGCCUGGGAUGAACCUCCAGCAUCUGACCCUCACCUGGCAGAAGGAGCGGGCGGGGGCAGAGGCCCUGG
This is a long non-coding RNA of Mauremys reevesii (Reeves's turtle), 406 nucleotides long. RefSeq lists it as uncharacterized. NCBI's taxonomy places the organism in Eukaryota, Metazoa, Chordata, Testudines, Geoemydidae. The transcript has 3 exons. The record is from RefSeq and is a predicted model, not a curated record.